Maniola jurtina (meadow brown) is the source of this 270-nucleotide long non-coding RNA. RefSeq lists it as uncharacterized. Lineage: Eukaryota; Metazoa; Arthropoda; Insecta; Lepidoptera; Nymphalidae. The transcript has 3 exons. The record is from RefSeq and is a predicted model, not a curated record.
AUGACAUAGCUUACAAACAAAUGGUUUUUCACCAGUAUGAGUUCUCAUGUGUCUCACUAAAUCACUUUUCCUUGCAAAUUUAUAAUGGCAUAGAUUACAAACAAAGGGUUUUUCACCAGUGUGAGUUCUCAUGUGCCGCACUAAAUGACUAUUCCGCACACUUUUAUAAUGGCAUAGCUUACAAGCAAACAGUUUCUCCCCAGUGUGAGUUCUCAUGUGCUGCACUAAAGUACUAUUCUGCGCACAUUUAUAAUGGCAUAACUUACAAAC